UCUGGGAUUAGAUACCCUGUUAUUAAAAAUAUGAAUAAAUUAUAAAGAAUUAGAUUUUAAAAUUGAAAUUUAAAAAAUUUGGCGGUAUUUUAAUCUUUUCAGAGGAACUUGUUUUUUAAUUGAUAAUACUCAUUAAAUUUUACUUAAUUUAAUAAUUUGUAUAUCGUCGUCAUAAGAAAAUCUUUAAAAAGAUAUAAUUUUCUAAUUUUUAUAUUUAAAUUUAUGUCAGAUCAAGGUGCAGUUUAUAAUUAAGAAAAAAUUAGUUACAAUAAAUAUAUUUAAGUGGAUAAUUUAAUUAAAUUUAAAUUUAAAAAUGGAUUUGAAAGUAAAUUUUAGUUAUUAUCUAAAAUUGAUUAAAGUUUUAAAAUAUGUACAAAUCGCCCGUCACUCUCUGA
RNAcentral lists this ribosomal RNA (395 nucleotides) under Manota mabokeensis. RNAcentral's name for it is "partial 12S ribosomal RNA". The record is from RNAcentral. Lineage: Eukaryota; Metazoa; Arthropoda; Insecta; Diptera; Mycetophilidae.